Molecule: ribosomal RNA, 407 nt
Filed under: uncultured bacterium
Lineage: Bacteria
Description: partial 16S ribosomal RNA
Rfam family: Bacterial small subunit ribosomal RNA
Source: RNAcentral
AUUGACCGCUGGCGGCAGGCCUAACACAUGCAAGUCGAGCGGAGCGGCGGACGGGUGAGUAAUGCCUAGGAAUCUGCCUGGUAGUGGGGGAUAACGUCCGGAAACGUGCGCUAAUACCGCAUACUAUCAGAUGAGCCUAGGUCGGAUUAGCUGGUUGGUGGGGUAAAGGUCUACCAAGGCGACGAUCCGUAACUGGGCUGAGAGGAUGAUAAGUCACACUGGAACUGAGACACGGUCCAAACUCAUACGGGAGGCAGCAGUGGGGAAUUUUGGAAAAUGGGGGAAACCCUGAUCCAGCCAUCCGGCGUGUAUGAUGAAGGGCUUCGGGUUGUAAAGUACUUUUGGCAGAGAAGCGGUAUCUGCAGAAUAAGCACCGGCUAACUACGUGCCAGCAGCCGCGGUAAUAC